This 75-nucleotide transfer RNA is filed under the name Phragmitibacter flavus. Its description in RNAcentral is "Verrucobacter flavum tRNA-Val". It matches the Rfam family "tRNA". From Rfam's summary of the family: Transfer RNA (tRNA) molecules are approximately 80 nucleotides in length. The record is from RNAcentral. Lineage: Bacteria; Pseudomonadati; Verrucomicrobiota; Verrucomicrobiia; Verrucomicrobiales; Verrucomicrobiaceae.
GCGCAGAUAGCUCAGCGGUAGAGCGGCUCGUUUACACCGAGUUGGUCGGGGGUUCGAUCCCCUCUCUGCGCACCA